GAUGAACGCUGGCGGCGUGCCUAAUACAUGCAAGUCGAGCGAACAGACGAGGAGCUUGCUCCUCUGACGUUAGCGGCGGACGGGUGAGUAACACGUGGAUAACCUACCUAUAAGACUGGGAUAACUUCGGGAAACCGGAGCUAAUACCGGAUAAUAUAUUGAACCGCAUGGUUCAAUAGUGAAAGACGGUUUUGCUGUCACUUAUAGAUGGAUCCGCGCCGCAUUAGCUAGUUGGUAAGGUAACGGCUUACCAAGGCGACGAUGCGUAGCCGACCUGAGAGGGUGAUCGGCCACACUGGAACUGAGACACGGUCCAGACUCCUACGGGAGGCAGCAGUAGGGAAUCUUCCGCAAUGGGCGAAAGCCUGACGGAGCCACGCCGCGUGAGUGAUGAAGGUCUUCGGAUCGUAAAACUCUGUUAUUAGGGAAGAACAAAUGUGUAAGUAACUAUGCACGUCUUGACGGUACCUAAUCAGAAAGCCACGGCUAACUACGUG
This 497-nucleotide ribosomal RNA is filed under the name uncultured bacterium. Its description in RNAcentral is "partial 16S ribosomal RNA". It matches the Rfam family "Bacterial small subunit ribosomal RNA", at positions 28 to 507 of the family's 1533-position model. The record is from RNAcentral.